Molecule: ribosomal RNA, 492 nt
Filed under: uncultured bacterium
Lineage: Bacteria
Description: partial 16S ribosomal RNA
Rfam family: Bacterial small subunit ribosomal RNA
Source: RNAcentral
AGUGAACGCUGGCGGUAGGCCUAACACAUGCAAGUCGAACGGCAGCACAGUAAGAGCUUGCUCUUACGGGUGGCGAGUGGCGGACGGGUGAGGAAUACAUCGGAAUCUACUUUUUCGUGGGGGAUAACGUAGGGAAACUUACGCUAAUACCGCAUACGACCUACGGGUGAAAGCAGGGGUUCUUCGGACCUUGCGCGAUUGCAUGAGCCGAUGUCGGAUUAGCUAGUUGGCGGGGUAAAGGCCCACCAAGGCGACGAUCCGUAGCUGGUCGGAGAGGAUGAUCAGCCACACUGGAACGGAGACACGGUCCAGACUCCUACGGGAGGCAGCAGUGGGGAAUAUUGGACAAAGGGCGCAAGCCUGAUCCAGCCAUACCGCGUGGGUGAAGAAGGCCUUCGGGUUGUAAAGCCCUUUUGUUGGGAAAGAAAAGCAGCAGGUUAAAACCCCGCUGUUCUGACGGUACCCAAAGAAUAAGCACCGGCUAACUUCGUG